Molecule: ribosomal RNA, 491 nt
Filed under: uncultured bacterium
Lineage: Bacteria
Description: bacterial SSU rRNA
Rfam family: Bacterial small subunit ribosomal RNA
Source: RNAcentral
AUCCUGGCUCAGGAUGAACGCUAGCGGGAGGCCUAACACAUGCAAGCCGAGCGGUAUUGUUUCUUCGGAAAUGAGAGAGCGGCGUACGGGUGCGGAACACGUGUGCAACCUGCCUUUAUCUGGGGGAUAGCCUUUCGAAAGGAAGAUUAAUACUCCAUAACAUAUUGAACGGCAUCGUUUAAUAUUGAAAGCUCCGGCGGUGAUAGAUGGGCAUGCGUCUGAUUAGUUAGUUGGCAGGGUAACGGCCUACCAAGACGAUGAUCAGUAGGGGGCGUCAGAGCGUGGUCCCCCACACUGGCACUGAGAUACGGGCCAGACUCCUACGGGAGGCAGCAGUAGGGAAUAUUGGGCAAUGGAUGCAAGUCUGACCCAGCCAUGCCGCGUGCAGGAAGAAGGUCCUCUGGAUUGUAAACUGCUUUUAUCGGGGAAGAAUAGUUUUCUUGCGAGGGAAUGUGACGGUACCCGAUGAAUAAGCCACGGCUAACUACGUG